RNAcentral lists this ribosomal RNA (744 nucleotides) under Trentepohliaceae sp. Kukwa 19646. RNAcentral describes it as "SSU rRNA". It matches the Rfam family "Eukaryotic small subunit ribosomal RNA", at positions 288 to 1041 of the family's 1831-position model. Lineage: Eukaryota; Viridiplantae; Chlorophyta; Ulvophyceae; Trentepohliales; Trentepohliaceae. The record is from RNAcentral.
CGAUGUUUCAUUCAAAUUUCUGCCCUAUCAACUUUCGACGGUAGGGUAGUGGCCUACCGUGGUGGUAACGGGUGACGGAGGAUUAGGGUUCGAUUCCGGAGAGGGAGCCUGAGAAACGGCUACCACAUCCAAGGAAGGCAGCAGGCGCGCAAAUUACCCAAAUCCCAACUCGGGGAGGUAGUGACAAGAAAUAACGAUGCUCCGGCCAUCGGUCGGGUAAUCGGAAUGAGAACAAUUUAAAUCCCUUAUCGAGGAUCAAUUGGAGGGCAAGUCUGGUGCCAGCAGCCGCGGUAAUUCCAGCUCCAAUAGCGUAUAUUUAAGUUGCUGCGGUUAAAAAGCUCGUAGUCGGAUUUCGGGUGGUUCCUACCGGUCCGCCCUUGGUGAGUACUGGUAGGCGCCACCUUUCUGCCGAGGACGGGUUCCUGGGCUUAACUGUCUGGGGCCCGGAGUCGGCGAUGUCACUUUGAGUAAAUUAGGGUGUUUAAAGCAGGCUUAUGCUCUGAAUACACUAGCAUGGGAUGACACGAUAGGACUUCGGUCUAUCUUGUCGGUCUGUAGGUCGGAGUAAUGAUUAAGAGGGACAGUCGGGGGCAUUCGUAUUUCGUAAUCAGAGGUGAAAUUCUUGGAUUUACGGAAGACGAACUUCUGCGAAAGCAUUUGCCAAGGAUGUUUUCAUUGAUCAAGAACGAAAGUCGGGGGCUCGAAGACGAUUAGAUACCGUCGUAGUCUCGACCAUAAACGAUG